AGAAUCAACGCUGGCGGCGUGCCUAACACAUGCAAGUCGAACGAGAAAGUGGAGCAAUCCAUGAGUAAAGUGGCGCACGGGUGAGUAACACGUGACUAACCUACCCUUGAGUGGGGGAUAACCUAGGGAAACCUGGGCUAAUACCGCAUAAUAUCGAGAGAUCAAAGGAGCAAUUCGCUUAAGGAGGGGGUCGCGGCUGAUUAGCUAGUUGGUGAGGUAAUGGCUCACCAAGGCUAUGAUCAGUAUCCGGCCUGAGAGGGCGAACGGACACACUGGAACUGAAACACGGUCCAGACUCCUACGGGAGGCAGCAGUGGGGAAUUUUGCGCAAUGGGGGAAACCCUGACGCAGCAACGCCGCGUGGAGGAUGAAGUCCCUUGGGACGUAAACUCCUUUCGAUCGGGACGAUAAUGACGGUACCGGAAGAAGAAGCCCGGCUAACUUCGCGCCAGCAGCCG
Molecule: ribosomal RNA, 458 nt
Filed under: uncultured bacterium
Lineage: Bacteria
Description: SSU rRNA
Rfam family: Bacterial small subunit ribosomal RNA
Source: RNAcentral